RNAcentral lists this ribosomal RNA (252 nucleotides) under uncultured bacterium. RNAcentral's name for it is "partial 16S ribosomal RNA". It matches the Rfam family "Bacterial small subunit ribosomal RNA", at positions 524 to 776 of the family's 1533-position model. The record is from RNAcentral.
UACGGGGGGGCAAGCGUUGUUCGGAAUUACUGGGCGUAAAGGGCCAGUAGGCGGCCAACUAAGUCCGACGUGAAAUCCCCAGGCUCAACUUGGGAACUGCGUCGGAUACUGGAUGGCUUGAAUUCGGGAGAGGGAUGCAGAAUUCCAGGUGUAGCGGUGAAAUGCGUAGAUAUCUGGAGGAAUACCGGUGGCGAAGGCGGCAUCCUGGACCGACAUUGACGCUGAACGGCGAAAGCUAGGGGAGCAAACGGG